RNAcentral lists this ribosomal RNA (437 nucleotides) under uncultured bacterium. Its description in RNAcentral is "bacterial SSU rRNA". It matches the Rfam family "Bacterial small subunit ribosomal RNA", at positions 28 to 479 of the family's 1533-position model. The record is from RNAcentral.
GACGAACGCUGGCGGCGUGCCUAACACAUGCAAGUCGAACGGAGUUACCCUUCGGGGUGGCUUAGUGGCGAACGGGUGAGUAACGCGUGAAGAACCUGCCUUUCAGUGGGGGACAACAGUUGGAACGACUGCUAAUACCGCAUAAUGUCAUUUGGGGGCAUCCCCGAAUGACCAAAGAUUUAUUGCUGAAAGAUGGCUUCGCGUCUGAUUAGCUAGUUGGUGAGGUAACGGCUCACCAAGGCGACGAUCAGUAGCCGGUCUGAGAGGAUGAACGGCCACAUUGGGACUGAGAUACGGCCCAGACUCCUACGGGAGGCAGCAGUGGGGGAAUAUUGGGCAAUGGGGGGAAACCCGUGACCCCAGCAACGCCGCGUGAAGGAAGAAGGCCUCGGUUGGUAACGUUACUUUACCUAGGACGGAAGAACGUAGACGGUACC